RNAcentral lists this ribosomal RNA (473 nucleotides) under uncultured bacterium. RNAcentral's name for it is "bacterial SSU rRNA". It matches the Rfam family "Bacterial small subunit ribosomal RNA", at positions 328 to 793 of the family's 1533-position model. The record is from RNAcentral.
GCAGAGCACUCUACGGGAGGCAGCAGUGGGGAAUAUUGCACAAUGGGCGCAAGCCUGAUGCAGCCAUGCCGCGUGUAUGAAGAAGGCCUUCGGGUUGUAAAGUACUUUCAGCAGUGAGGAAGGUGGGUAUGUUAAUAGCAUAUUCAUUUGACGUUAGCUGCAGAAGAAGCACCGGCUAACUCCGUGCCAGCAGCCGCGGUAAUACGGAGGGUGCGAGCGUUAAUCGGAAUUACUGGGCGUAAAGCGCAUGCAGGUGGUUUGUUAAGUCAGAUGUGAAAGCCCGGGGCUCAACCUCGGAAUUGCAUUUGAAACUGGCAAACUAGAGUACUGUAGAGGGGGUAGAAUUUCAGGUGUAGCGGUGAAAAUGCGUAGAGAUCUGAAGGAAUACCGGUGGCGAAGGCGGCCCCCCUGGACAGAUACUGACACUCAGAUGCGAAAGCGUGGGGAGCAAACAGGAUUAGAUACCCUGGUAG